Molecule: ribosomal RNA, 504 nt
Filed under: uncultured bacterium
Lineage: Bacteria
Description: partial 16S ribosomal RNA
Rfam family: Bacterial small subunit ribosomal RNA
Source: RNAcentral
AUUGAACGCUGGCGGCAGGCCUAACACAUGCAAGUCGAACGGUAGCACAGAGAGCUUGCUCUCGGGUGACGAGUGGCGGACGGGUGAGUAAUGUCUGGGAAACUGCCCGAUGGAGGGGGAUAACUACUGGAAGCGGUAGCUAAUACCGCAUAACGUCGCAAGACCAAAGUGGGGGACCUUCGGGCCUCACACCAUCGGAUGUGCCCAGAUGGGAUUAGCUAGUAGGUGGGGUAAUGGCUCACCUAGGCGACGAUCCCUAGCUGGUCUGAGAGGAUGACCGGCCACACUGGAACUGAGACACGGUCCAGACUCCUACGGGAGGCAGCAGUGGGGAAUAUUGCACAAUGGGCGCAAGCCUGAUGCAGCCAUGCCGCGUGUAUGAAGAAGGCCUUCGGGUUGUAAAGUACUUUCAGCGGGGAGGAAGGCGGUGAAGUUAAUAACUUCACCGAUUGACGUUACCCGCAGAAGAAGCACCGGCUAACUCCGUGCCAGCCGCCGCAGUAA